GCUUAUACUCGACCGUCAGAGGCACGUGCGAUCGCUACGCGCGCGCGCACCCGUGCGCGCGCGUACGUUCACGAAGCCAUGACGAGUAGGAGGGUCGCGGCGGUGAGCGCAGAAGGGCUGGCCGCGAGGCCGUCUGGAGCCGCCGUCGGUGCAGAUCUUGGUGGUAGUAGCAAAUACUCCAGCGAGGCCCUGGAGGACUGACGUGGAGAAGGGUUUCGUGUGAACAGCCGUUGCACACGAGUCAGUCGAUCCUAAGCCCUAGGCGAAAGCCGAUGUCGAUGCGGUGUAGAUUUAUUAUUAUUUAUAUAUUAUAAACGACAAAACACCCGUCGGGCGAAAGGGAAUCCGGUUCCUAUUCCGGAACCUGGCAGCGGAACCGUUAAUAAGUCGGGC
Molecule: ribosomal RNA, 393 nt
Filed under: Tylodinus sp. JJA-2007
Lineage: Eukaryota; Metazoa; Arthropoda; Insecta; Coleoptera; Curculionidae
Description: eukaryotic LSU rRNA
Rfam family: Eukaryotic large subunit ribosomal RNA
Source: RNAcentral